CCCUAGCCUCGAUAGGAGCGGUUACCCCACAGCAGGGAAUGGCGUGUUAGGCCUUAGCCGGGAAAGCAAUGGCGCGAGGAGUAAGAGCGGAUAGCGAGAAUAAGC
RNAcentral lists this unclassified non-coding RNA (105 nucleotides) under Chryseobacterium taichungense. RNAcentral's name for it is "Flavo-1 RNA". The record is from RNAcentral. Lineage: Bacteria; Pseudomonadati; Bacteroidota; Flavobacteriia; Flavobacteriales; Weeksellaceae.